GGAGGAGUUCCCGAGUGGCCAAAGGGAACAGACUGUAAAUCUGUCGUCAGUGACUUCGGUGGUUCGAAUCCACCCUCCUCCACCA
This 85-nucleotide transfer RNA is filed under the name Eubacterium sp. Its description in RNAcentral is "tRNA-Tyr". It matches the Rfam family "tRNA". Rfam says of the family: Transfer RNA (tRNA) molecules are approximately 80 nucleotides in length. Lineage: Bacteria; Bacillati; Bacillota; Clostridia; Eubacteriales; Eubacteriaceae. The record is from RNAcentral.